UUCUCCUUUCUCAGAGAUGAAUUUGAUCCAUGGUCUUACUGGGGUUACAGACAUCCUAACGGGGCACAUCAGCCCCAAAAUCAAGGGCUCUGUUGUGCUGAUGAGAAAGAACGUCUUGGAUUUCACUGACUAUGGCGCCAAGCUAAUCGACGACGUCACUGAGUUUCUCGGUCAGAGCAUCACCUUCCAGCUUGUCAGUGCCACCGUCGGUGACAACACAAAUGGGAAUAGGGGCAAGGUGGGGAAGGAGGCUUAUCUUCAACAGUGGUUCACGAACCUAUCACCGCUGGCGGCUGGGGAGACCCGCUUCAGCAUCUCCUUCGAUUCGGAAGCCGGCUUCGGCAUCCCUGGAGCAAUCAUCGUUAACAACAACCAUCUCAACCAGUUCUUUCUCAAGACCAUCACUCUCGACGACGUCCCUGGCAAGGGACGUAUUGUCUUUGUCUGCAACUCAUGGGUGUACCCCAAGUUCAUGUAUAAGUAUAAUCGUGUCUUCUUCGCCAACGAUACAUAUCUCCCUAGCAGUACUCCUGCACCACUUCAACCCUAUAGAGAAGACGAGCUUCUCCAUCUCAGAGGGGACGAUGUCACCGGAAAGCUCGAGGAGUUCCAGCGGGUCUACGGCUAUGCACUUUACAACGAUCUCGGUGAACCUGACAAAGGCGCCGGCCAUGUACGCCCCACCCUUGGAGGUUCCAAAGAGUACCCUUACCCUCGCCGGGGUCGGACUGGGCGCCACCCUUCAAGAACC
This 751-nucleotide unclassified non-coding RNA is filed under the name Hevea brasiliensis (rubber tree). The record is from RNAcentral. Lineage: Eukaryota; Viridiplantae; Streptophyta; Magnoliopsida; Malpighiales; Euphorbiaceae.